CAAAGGGGCCAAUUUCUUCUCUUCAAAGGGGGCAGCCGAAUUUCCUCUUAAGUUUUCUCACAAAUCACCCAAGAAAGUGGCUAGAGUUAUAACCUUAUAAAUAGGAUAGGGUUAGCCUUUAAGUUGAACCAAUAGAAAGUUAAACGGGCUAAAAUUUAAACCAUCUAAGAGGGAAUACAAUUGGACCGGGCAGAGCCUAUGGACUUGGUUGUUAGAAUUAUUUCAUUCAUUGGCUGUGGCCUAUGAAAUACAUUAUCCAACGUUAACAUCAUAGCCCAAGAUUUAUUGGAUAUCAAAAAUCUAACAAAUCUCCAUCUUGAUGCCCAAUAAACCUGCAAGCAAUCAAAACACACAGUUAGUACUUGCAUAAUCAAGGUAACUAAUAAAAUUUGGUCACAGACCUUACCUCGUAUUUUCAACCUGAAACACAUAACAUACCUGCUCCAUAUACUCACCAGGGCUAUGGUCAAGAAUACCAAAGUAGAAGCAAAUAUUCACAGUAAUCAAUCAAGAGCAAAUAAUCAUACGAUGACGAUAUAACAUAGGAUAACACACAUAGAUCUUUUCAGAAAUAUGUUCACACAGAACCAAAGGUUAACACCAAGUCAGUUAACAGGCGCCAACACAUAUGCAACAGAUGCAUAAUAACCCCACGAAAAGAUCUCAUCACAUUUAUCCUAUCCCAUUAUAUGUUGCUCACACCUUGAGAACGCAUAUCUCUUCUCAUCUUUCACUUUGCUCACUCGACUGGUCACUCAUCCUAUGUCUGUCUAGUGAAUCAUAAUAGAUUCUAAGUCCACAGGAUAAUCCUCUAUCACCACAUCACUUCUCCCAACCUACGUGGAUAAUGAGUCUCCACUUAACGAAAGUGAUAGAAGUGUCUCUCUCACACUCCAUCUGAUUAGGAUCUCUUCACAGAUGAAGGAUUCUAGACAUUUAAUUACCUCACCACGCAUGAUCCAAAUGUUACACAACACAUCCCCAGUACAAACCACAAUGUCUUCCUUAGCAUCUAAACUCUACCUUACAAAAGACAUACAACACAUUGCUAAUACAUAUUAACCCACUAUACAUGCAAACAAUUACACCAAGUAUUCAUAUUGCCUCAAAUUCAUGCAAAUGCACAUAUCAAACACAUUGAAAUACAACAUAUAAUCAUGCAACAAGAAUUAGGCAAUCAUACAUAUGCAGAAAGGAUUACAUGUAGAUGCACGUGCAGUAACUUUGUUUACUCUCAAUAAAUCUCAAACUAGGGUCAUUACUCGACCCUAUAACCACAUUUGCCUCAAAACUCAUCUUACCAUUUUGCUUAUCAUUCUUCUUGAGACAGUCACUAAUAAAGUGUCCAGGCUUACCACAGCUAUAACACUGUCUACCACUAGACUUGUCUCGUCCCUUGCCAUUUUUCUUACCACCCUCAUCACUCGAGUUACUAUUUGAAUCACUAUUGUUUUGAGCUCUACCUAAAUUCAUUUGCUUAAACUUCAUCCUACUCCUCAUCAUAUGUAACUCACCACUCAUCUUAUCUUCUUUUUCAAUUUUAAUCUCCAUCUCCUUACUCUUAAGGUAGUCUAUGACAAUUUUGAGUAUUAAGGUGUCCCUACCAUAUUUAAUCGCAUUCUUAACCUCUCUAUAUGAAUCAGGCAUAGAAUUAAGCAAAACAAUGGUCUUGUACAUUUUAGACACUUUUUUUUUUUUU
RNAcentral lists this long non-coding RNA (1699 nucleotides) under Olea europaea subsp. europaea. Lineage: Eukaryota; Viridiplantae; Streptophyta; Magnoliopsida; Lamiales; Oleaceae. The record is from RNAcentral.